UACGUAGGGUGCGAGCGUUGUCCGGAAUUACUGGGCGUAAAGCGUGCGCAGGCGGUUUUGUAAGACAGGCGUGAAAUCCCCGGGCUUAACCUGGGAACUGCGUUUGUGACUGCAAGGCUAGAGUACGGCAGAGGGGGGUGGAAUUCCACGUGUAGCAGUGAAAUGCGUAGAGAUGUGGAGGAACACCAAUGGCGAAGGCAGCUCCCUGGGUCGAUACUGACGCUCAUGCACGAAAGCGUGGGUAGCAAACAGG
RNAcentral lists this ribosomal RNA (253 nucleotides) under uncultured bacterium. RNAcentral's name for it is "partial 16S ribosomal RNA". It matches the Rfam family "Bacterial small subunit ribosomal RNA", at positions 524 to 776 of the family's 1533-position model. The record is from RNAcentral.